UAGAAGGUGGUGUAAUGCAGCACAAGGAGCUUUGGCCUCCUAAGCUUAGGUUCAAGUCCUAGUCUUCUAU
Molecule: transfer RNA, 70 nt
Filed under: Crossorhombus kobensis (Kobe flounder)
Lineage: Eukaryota; Metazoa; Chordata; Actinopteri; Pleuronectiformes; Bothidae
Description: tRNA-Gln
Rfam family: tRNA
About the family: Transfer RNA (tRNA) molecules are approximately 80 nucleotides in length.
Source: RNAcentral